UCAAACUUGGUCAUUUAGAGGAAGUAAAAGUCGUAACAAGGUUUCCGUAGGUGAACCUGCGGAAGGAUCAUUAACUAUUCCGCCCGGCGCGACCCCGCCCGGGAGGUGGUGUUAACCGCUCCUCCGCGUCGUGUCUGCUGUCCUUGGGCCGCAGUCCGGCGUUGAUCGAGUUACCCGACCCUCAUGUGAACCCACUGAAAUCUGCUUCGGCAGCGCGGCCGACAUACGUAGGCCGGUAAGGCUGCCGGUGGCCCCUUGUGUUAAAACCAUUACAUGCUGUCUCAAAAUUUUUGAAGUCUGAUCAUUGAUGAAUUUUAAAUAUCAAGAAAAGUUAAAACUUUCAGCAACGGAUCUCUUGGUUCCCGCAUCGAUGAAGAACGCAGC
This 384-nucleotide unclassified non-coding RNA is filed under the name uncultured fungus. RNAcentral describes it as "partial contains small subunit ribosomal RNA, internal transcribed spacer 1, and 5.8S ribosomal RNA". The stretch from base 1 to 73 matches the Rfam family "Eukaryotic small subunit ribosomal RNA", at positions 1759 to 1831 of the family's 1831-position model. The record is from RNAcentral. Lineage: Eukaryota; Fungi.